UUAGGGCUUUGCAUCGUGGGGCUGACCUCGAAGAUCGAUGAUCUGAGCUCCAUCGCUGGAUGAUGUCGAGCAUUGGUACUUGAAGAUCCUGCUUGGACAUGCAGUUCCUCCAUUGAAGGGCUGUUGUUCGAGCAAAUCUUGUUCAACAUUGGCCUUAGCCAGAUCGACCUACGAGGUGUAUGCCAUAGCCUUCCCAUUUUUUUCGAUCUUUCUUUUUGGUAUUCAUUUUUUGUCUUGACUUUUUUACCUUGACUUUUGCAAAGAUGAGGACGGAGGAGUUGGAAAGGCUUCAUCGGGUGGUGCAAAGAAGAGAAAAGCUUCAACCACCAUGGAGGAUCCAUCCAAGUGCUCUCGCACUGAGGCUGCUUCGACUGAUCAGACCGCCCAG
RNAcentral lists this long non-coding RNA (388 nucleotides) under Elaeis guineensis (African oil palm). RNAcentral describes it as "long non-coding RNA (EGUI_LNC007804)". Lineage: Eukaryota; Viridiplantae; Streptophyta; Magnoliopsida; Arecales; Arecaceae. The record is from RNAcentral.